Long non-coding RNA from Planococcus citri (citrus mealybug), 4004 nucleotides. RefSeq lists it as uncharacterized. The record is from RefSeq and is a predicted model, not a curated record. NCBI's taxonomy places the organism in Eukaryota, Metazoa, Arthropoda, Insecta, Hemiptera, Pseudococcidae. The transcript is spliced from 2 exons.
UUCACGUUUCUUUUUACUACAAGUUUACUAAAGAAAAUAAUUCAAAAGCAAGUUUUCAUGGUAGGUUGAGCUUUAAAAAACACAUACACAAGUUAUCUGGUGUCUGGUGUCGUAAAAAAGAGAGGGGCGAAAAUUACGUAGGCAUUUCUACAUUAUCUUUCUCACUGUGUAACUGGAGGCUGGAACGUUUUAGAAACUCAAGACGAGCAAUAACAAUAUUAAUGGAAGUGAUAUUAAAACUUUAUCGUGAAAUUCCUAAACACAAACAGCUGUAUCAAAAAAAAGUUUCGUAAUGAGGUAUAAAUAAUUUCACGAGUUCACAACUUGGAAUGAAUUUUUUUAGAUUAUAACCAAUACAUAAAUGGUUAGAUUAGAUACCUUGAUUUACUCGUAGGUGGUUAUUCCUUUUUUUUAUUUUACUAUUAAUCUUGGUCUAAGAUAGGUUCUUUAAAAGUAGUGACCUGAAUCUUCAAUAAAAUUUUAUUAUAAGGAAUGUUCUCGAAGUAGGCAAAUUAUCCAUCUAGUAAACCAAGGCACUAGCUUCUCCUGUUGUAGCAUAGGUCAUGUUAAUUUGCCUGAAUUUAUUUGGGUAGAUUAACCUAUCUACAUAUUGUUCAAUGAUUCUGGGCUUAAGUGAUGAGAGUGGGGAAAAGUUGAACUUAUGGACGUUAGGUAAGUCCUACCUAACGUAGUAGGUACCAAGAAUAAUUCGAAUGUGGAUUGGUACGUAUGUUUUGAAGUGUUACGCGAUCGCGUUGUAAUUAAUCCUUUUUCUUUAUAUGUUUCUAUUUUUCUAAUAAUGUUUCGAGUAAGAAUAAAAUGAAUUAGUUUCGAGUGUUAAAUUUGUUUGAAUGUUCGAUAAUGAUUUCGUGUUUUAAUUCGAUUGAAUCGGUUUUAAUUAUGGAAGAGUAGACCUGUGUCACGUAAGCCAGUAAUGGCGGUGCUUAGGCACACGCCUAGAUAAUGGUGUGAAUUUAGGGAAAAUUCUUCUUAGAUAGGGCUACUAUAUAGUCAUGGAAAUUGACUCCGUCUUAGUUUAUUAAAUCAAAAUUGUCAAGGUAAUGUCAGGUUUAGAAACUAAUAAUUAAAUAUAUCAGGUAUGAUAUAUUAUUAGCUCUUAGAAAUUUAGAUAAUCGAGUAAACGAUUCAAAUUUAUAAUGUGUCUAACAUUGUAAUUAUUCCUAUGAAUAAUAUUUUAUAAUCGAAUAAAUACCUAUCACCUAAAAGAGGUUACGAUCUCACCUUAUGCUUUUGAAACUUUGAUAGGUAUUUACCUAUUUGUGUAUAUAGUCCCUUUUUCUAACCUUUUUCGAUGAUAGGAAAUAAAUUACUCUCUGGUUUAGACAUUUUAAUUAUCUGGAGUAUAGGCAGGUUCCUUUAUGUUACUUUCCUGUAGAAUUACCCACUUAUCCUAUUUAGUUAUACCAGUCUAACUCCUUACCUACCUAUUUGGACACGCCAAGCUUUCCCCAAAAAAUGAUUCCUUACUAAAAUUAUUUAAUCCUAUACCACAGAUAAUUAAAAUUGGCGCCCAACGUGGGGCAUAAGUUUGUGUCAAUUUAAGUAGGUAAGACCUACCUAAAAGAAAAAUUUUCCAUUUUUGAAAAUUUGUGUCAAAAUUGAAAUUCAGGAAAUUUCGUAUAAUUUGGAUUUUUUAUUGAAUAAAAUAAUGAGAAGAAUUUAUUUCCAUGGCCAUAAGUAAUUUUAUUUCAUUUGUGAGCCUUCUGUCUCCAGUUGAAACUGGAUAGAAAAAUUUCCGUCUGUAACCAUGUAUCGAGUAGGUAGAUACAUGGGUUACGUAGAUUCGUGUUAAGAAGGUUUUUUCUAGCAAGCACACUGUCAAUUGUACCUACUUACGAGCAUGAAAAUGCGUAAACGAAAUAAAUGUACUUGUCUAGGUAAAGGUAUAAUGUAUCGAACGAAAUUGCAUCUCAAAAGACCUUGAAAUAUGUGUAAAUAUGUUUGUGUUAGUAGAUAAUUAGGCCAACUAAAUUCUCUCCUCCCCCCAAACGUUUUCGAUUGCUUUCGAGCAUUCGAGUACAAACUAGCUAUAAGAUUAUAAGAAGUACAGUUUGAGUUUAAAAAAAAAAAAAUAUGAAAAAAAAAAGAUAAAAAUAGCUUCGAGUGAUCGAAUAGAAAAAGAGUUCCUAGAAAAACCAGACUGCUAGAGUAUCUAUUGUAUUCGUGUACUGCGCAUAUCCUUAUCAGAACUUGUUCACGUUGUGUUCUGCUGCGUAGGUUAAGGCAACAGUAUUGUAAUAUCUUUCGUUGCGUAUGUUUCUGUGUUUUGAAUGCUUUUAGUGCGAAUUUUUACUUUUCCUUUUUGAGUAAUUAGUCAAUGAAUUUGUUCGAUUAUUUCUUGUAAUUGUUUCAAGCUCUAAUUUGUAAAGCUUUCGAGUGUGAAGUGUGUAAGAAAGAGUGUCGGCCUGUAUUCGAGUUCCUGGUUAUUGUUCCAGUCAUUUUACUCUGUUUAUUCGUUUGGCAUAUAAAAUGGACGCUCCGAAGAUCCACAAUAAUCGAUUCUAUUCCAAGUGUAGCGACUGUCACGUCCACUUCAUCAAGAACGAAUUUAUUCCCGAUGAUCGAGUGUUUAUGUGUACCCCCCAGUCUGCUGAAUUGGAUAUUAUCAUCGAGCGAAAAGACCAGAAAUUAUUUCCAUUUAUUGGAUUCAACUACGAAUGCCCGAUCCGUCAUCGAAUUAACGUUCAAGUCGAGUCAUUGAGUUUUUCGGAAGCUUUGAAAAAAGCUGCGUUCGAGUUUUUGCUCAAUAAAGUCCGUCUAUAUGUUAACAAAUUUCUGACGUUGACUUUUGGCUGCGACUAUUUACUCGAUGAAUUUAAGCCAACCACAUUCGACCGUUCGCUGAUUCGUUCCUUUUCAACUUUCGUACCUAAUGAGUUGUUGAUCAUACCGAAUAUGGACGAAUUUAUCUCCUGCGCAUUCAACGAUUUAUUCCUUGGCGCGACGAUUUUCGAGUAAAAAGUAACUUUUCAGUAUACUUCCCGAUCACUCUCAACCCUGGAAUGCCAGGAUACGAAAAUGACGAGCAUAUCGUCAAUUGCUACGUCACUGAACUUCACCCUUAUCGAAUUUCUGGUGAAGUUAAAGGCACCAUAAUUCUCGGACGGAAUUUUACAUCGAAUAUUAUCAAAUACGAUGAUAAUAAGGUCGAAUUUACGCUCAAAGGUACGCGAACAAAUCCUACUCCUCGAAUAGUCCGUUGCAAGAAGAUGUUGCCAUUGAUUCGAGUAGAUGGCAUAUUAAACACUCUUCGAAUAAUGUCACCCGAUCAACUUCGAGCGGAAUUCGAACACAUACUCCUCUACAUUCGAGCAAAAAAGACGAAGGAUGGAGUGGACGACGGUCGCUACGACGGUAAAUAGGUUUUGUUCCUUUUUCGAGUUUGAACAAUGUUAUUGUUUCUUUGUCGAGUAUUUUUUGUAUUUUUUCUUUUUGUUUUUCUACCGAUUUUGACUAUGUACCCGAUUAUGACGUUUUUUCUCGAUUGUGACCUUUUUUGUAUUUGUAAUUUUUGUUUAAAUCAGCAGCUGUGAUUUAUGAUCUUUUUAUUUUAUAAUUUUCGAGUUUUUUAUCUUUAAAUUUUUUAUCAAAUUUUUGUACUUGUCUUUCGAAGAUAUUUUUAAUUUGAAAAUUUUCCAAAGUGCAACUUUUUCCCAAUCUCCUCACUUCAGUUUGCCAGGGGAGAAUUUUAUGUAGCAUAGGUCAUGUUAAUUUGCCUGAAUUUAUUUGGGUAGAUUAACCUAUCUACAUAUUGUUCAAUGAUUCUGGGCUUAAGUGAUGAGAGUGGGGAAAAGUUGAACUUAUGGACGUUAGGUAAGUCCUACCUAACGUAGUAGGUACCAAGAAUAAUUCGAAUGUGGAUUGGUACGUAUGUUUUGAAGUGUUACGCGAUCGCGUUGUAAUUAAUCCUUUUUCUUUAUAUGUUUCUAUUUUUCUAAUAAUGUUUCGAGUAAGAAUAAAAUGAAUUAGUUUCGAGUGUUAAA